AAUCCAUGUUGAGGGCAGUGUUGAAUCAAAUCUUUAUACAUUUCCCAUGCCUCAUAGAGUGAUUCGAAAUCAUUUUACUUGAAUUGACAAUCUCACUCCUGAGUUG
Molecule: small nucleolar RNA, 106 nt
Organism: Juglans microcarpa x Juglans regia
Lineage: Eukaryota; Viridiplantae; Streptophyta; Magnoliopsida; Fagales; Juglandaceae
Source: RefSeq, a predicted model, not a curated record